Non-coding RNA from Struthio camelus australis, 2430 nucleotides. The record is from RefSeq and is a predicted model, not a curated record. Lineage: Eukaryota; Metazoa; Chordata; Aves; Struthioniformes; Struthionidae.
CAGCUCGGCUAGGGUGCGGGCGUUUGGGCUCCGUCCUUAGGCUGGGGCUGCAGCAGCAUCACCUCCCUGCAAAGCAGCACGCCAAAUCCCAACCCGGCCUCACAGCAGCUCUCUUCUCUAUCCCCAGCUGCCAUUGUUUGCCAGUGUCUUGUCUGACAAAUGUCUGACAGCCUUUCUGUAUUGAAGAAGGAAUAAAAGGAAGAGGUUACAGCUGACAGUGUUCCACUGACAAGCAAUACUGACUAAAGCCAAAAGAUAGGAUCAACAGUACAGAUCCUACCAAUGCACAGUUACACAGGACUUUAACUUGAUUUUCGUCUGGAACUCAGUCCUCUUUAUACACUAUCAUAUUUUGUUGGAAUCAAAACUAACAUGCUGUUCUUCAAGGCUUUUCACAUUUGCCAUGGGCCUACAAAAAGACCUGCAAAGCCUUACCGCUACUUUUACUCAUUCAUGACAAAGAAUCAGACUGCUGGUCAAGAGACGCUCUGCUGAACAACCUAAGCAACAGGGAAUUUGAGAACUAGCGCUUGAGAUUUCACCAGAUCUCCCCAAAUGGAAUAUGAUUAGGAAUGAUCUUGUGUUUAUACCUCCAAAGAGAUUAUUGUCAUGAAAUAAAAAAUGGUUUAUUUAUUUUAACAGAACGGUUUGUAAGACAAAUUUAUUAAACAACAACAAAGAAUCUGAAUGAACAAUGAAAGAAGUUUGUGAUCUCUAAUAGAAGCAGAGGCUGAAUUCAGCCUUUAAAAACUACGAACAGUAUUUAGUCCUAAAGGAUAGAGAAGAAAAUGGCUUCCAGAAGUCAAUGUUAAAGAAGCCUCCGAUACACCAGUUGCAAUCUCUGUCAUAGAAUGGAAACAAUUAUGCAACAGUAGAGUUCCUGUUUGGUGUUAUUCAUAAUUUUCUGAAACUCUUUUUGAGCCAAACUGUUCCAGGUUUGGUUGCUCUCUGAAGGUGAAUAGUGCUGGAAAGUUUGGUCAAAGUAGUUUGACAUACAGUAGCUCAAAUAGAAGAAGUGGAGAAAAGUCUAAUUUUCUAUGGAAACCUUUGACUGAUCUUAAAAAGUCUAUAGGCUCCUUGCUUUAUCUUUUGCACCAGACAAAACCUAUGAGAACUGGUCCAGGAGAAUGUUUAGAAUAUGCUUUACGAUAGGAAACUCAUCAUUAUGAAAGAGCAUUGGAUACUAUAGCUUUUAAAAGUGUUAUUGAUUAAGAAUGAUUAAAAACAUCUACUCAGUUGACUGUGAUGUUUCCCUAUCAACUUUCUUGAAACAUUUUUCAAUCUGGGGUGCAGCUACAAUGUAUCGUCAUUUAUUUCUUACUAGUCUCAAGGACCAGAUCUGGAAUAAUGAAAGUUGUAUCAGCACAGUGUUUCCUUUUGCAUAUAUCCAUUUUCAUAUUUUGCAAUGAGGCAGAACAUGGCAAGUAUAUUAAAAUAAGAAAUGUAACCUCCUAUGAAAUAAUGGAGCUGUAACAGGGAUUAAUAUGGCUCCACAAUGAAGACUGUUGCUUUUUAAUCAUGAUACCCAUAUGAUACGCUUUGCAGUUUGUUUCGAAGUCAGGAUGUUCUGGGAUUGAAGCCAAACCAGAGACUUAAGUCUAAAAUAAAUUUUCUGUACCAGGGAAAAGCAGCUUUACUCAUGAAAACAAUAUAGGAUUUUAAUAAUAACACAAAGAACUUUAAUCAGAUGUACAUUAAGAAACAAUAUUAAAAAAGCACAAAUCAAUUGCUACAUGUUGGCAGAUGUCCAUAUCCACCUUAACUGCAAGAUUCACAAGCUUAGCAAGAAAAUACUGAAGGUAAAAUUCAUAGUUUUCUUAAUUAAACAAAUACAACACAUUUUAUGUCACUAUACAACAGCCUGUUUCUGACUUAGCAGUGAUUUGUAUUUUAUGCCCAUAUCUGCUUCCUCAGUGCUUUUAAAGUGAGAAAUCAGUUGAUAUAUUUAUUACAAUAAGUUAAUUUAUAUGAACUUAUACACAUAUCACAUAACAUACAAUGCACUAUUUAUAAAAUGCAAUUAGUAUGUAAGAUAUAUGCAUGCCAAUGUAUAUUAACUAUACAAAUGUGUAUAUUCCAUUUAUGAAUUAUAGCUUAAAAUCAUAAAAUAUAGAUUUUAUAACUCUAUUGUGCUGAUUUAUAGCAAAAUAUGUACGUAUGGCAAUUUUUAUUUGGGAUGACUUAAAAACAUAUCUACACAUGAAUGAUCCCCUGUCUCUUUCUCAGAUGAGUUGAAUUUGUACUAUGCCAUUUUAGAUUAUUGUUGAAAAUACAGUGGUUUUUUUUUAUGAGAAUUGAAACUGUUGGGAUAAAUGGUUAAUGCUGCGCACCAGUUAGAUGUGUGACUGUCUUAGCUAGUCAUUUCAUGACUUCAUUACUUCUAUUUUUUAAAUUUUGUAAUUAAAUGCCUUUAUAUUUAACUCUUUUUAA